UACGGAGGGUGCAAGCGUUAUCCGGAUUCACUGGGUUUAAAGGGAGCGUAGGUGGGUUGGUAAGUCAGUGGUGAAAUCCCCGAGCUUAACUUGGGAACUGCCAUUGAUACUAUCAGUCUUGAAUACCGUGGAGGUCAGCGGAAUAUGUCAUGUAGCGGUGAAAUGCUUAGAUAUGACAUAGAACACCAAUUGCGAAGGCAGCUGGCUACACGAAUAUUGACACUGAGGCUCGAAAGCGUGGGGAUCAAACAGG
RNAcentral lists this ribosomal RNA (253 nucleotides) under uncultured bacterium. RNAcentral describes it as "partial 16S ribosomal RNA". It matches the Rfam family "Bacterial small subunit ribosomal RNA", at positions 524 to 776 of the family's 1533-position model. RNAcentral also lists the same sequence under 1 other name. The record is from RNAcentral.